AGGCGACCCUGAAAACUUGGACGUGCCAUGAUUUAGGCUAUAUUAACCAUGGACUGAAUAUCUGGUCAUAUCCAAUUUCAUUUGCCUCUGUUUCUGUAAAACAUGUUCAUGUAUGAAUUCUAAAUGCAUUUGAUGUUUCUUUCCCUCGUUUAAGCAAGGGGUCCCUGCUAAGGUGAGGGAAGAAGUAGUCACGAUAACUUGACCGUGAAGGGCUCGAGCGCCAUGUGACAUCCUGGCCAGAAACGUCGACUCGAUUGAGAUUUCAUCAUCUCCAUUGAGAAAGGGAGCCGGCCUAUCACCCGUGGACCACUAAAAUCACCACCUCUUGGUCCUUCCUCUCUCGUGUUCAGCGCAAGGGCCUUCCUGACUCUGUGACAGAGGGAGUCCUGAGUGACGCCGUGAAUGACUCUACGAUGCCUUACUGCCCCCCCCCUCCCCUCCCCCACCUCUUCCCGGCUGCUUCUGAUUAAGGUGUGAUCACUAUAGCCGCACACACAUUUCAAAGACUUACAAAAAGUCCCAAAAAAUGAAGCCAUUUCCCUCAAAUGUUGCUGUUCUGAAACGGACAAAUAGGAGGGAUGUAUUUUGCAGAAGGAGCGUUAUUUGUAUUGUUCCAUACCUUGGAACUUAACGUAUCUUAGAUGAUGCCCCAGUGUAGGUUCCAAUCGUCUUGCAAUGCAACUGUGCUUGCUGCUAUCAGUGAAAAGGUUCCACCCAAAAAAAGAUCCCUGUUUCUAGUACUCUUACAAUGCAGCACGGCGGCUCGGACUAUUGCUGUUACACUUGCGGUGUUGGCGAAGCUACUGUGAAAAUAUUGUUUACCAAGCUACCGUUUACUUCACACUGACAGAAGUUAAGCUACACUGAAGCCACAUUUGAGAAAAAAAAUAUUAACUCAAGUUACUUUGGGAAAAUAGUUCACGACAUCCACACUGCUUCUUGGAAAAUGAUCAUAUUUGAAUCUGAAACGUCAUGGAGUACAAAUUGCAAGGGCAGAUCACUUUGAGGUCAUACGUUAACAGAAUGUGCCUAUUAAACACAAAAACUAUGUUUCAAGGGAGAAUUGGGAAGGUCUGAUGCUGAAAAAGAUAGGAAAUUCUUGCCUACUUCAGUUCUAUUUUCUUUUUCUUUUGCAAAAAAAAGUAGUGUGUAGUUCCAGUAGUUCGCUACACUGCUACGUGGCAAUUAAAAAAAAAAAAACUACUGAAAACAAUACCAAAAGUUGAAUUUAGUUAAUAAACUACCACCAAGCUACUGCAAAAUGCAGCUAAAUUAGUAGUUCACUACUCCUCCACACUGUACACUUGUCACCUGGUUGAGUGAGUGUGAAAGCAGUCAAUCAUGAUCCACUUCCUGUGUGUGCCCAGCCUAUACUGAACCUGUGUUCAUUUGGCACCAAAGGGAAGACAAUAGACUGAAAGAUGGGAGGGACUACCUGAGGUGUAUUAAUUAGUCCUACACCGUAGCAAAACGUUUUUUUUUUCAACGGGAACGUUUUUGCAAUAAAAACAAACGUUUUCAGCUUCGGUUCCAUUUGGUUCCUUGUGAAUACACCCUUGGAUUCUUCCAAAUAGCAAAAGCUAAUUUUUGUUUCCUGUCGCAGACAGUUAGGAGCUAAAAGGAAGACGUCACGUCGUUUCACAUUAUCCAUGCAUAUGCUAGGGUGGUUGAUAGUUGCUUUAGUGGAGAGUGAGUUCUAGGUCAAACUAAAACACAGGGCACUUUUCUGUACCAGGCUGGCAGCUGCCAUUCACCCGGCCCUCCAUCUCUCCCUUUCUCUCUCACAUCUCUGAUGGAAGGAGAGGUGCCCGUCGUUGUAAGGCGGUUG
Molecule: long non-coding RNA, 1828 nt
Organism: Oncorhynchus keta (chum salmon)
Lineage: Eukaryota; Metazoa; Chordata; Actinopteri; Salmoniformes; Salmonidae
Exons: 3
Source: RefSeq, a predicted model, not a curated record